This 1118-nucleotide long non-coding RNA is filed under the name Sinocyclocheilus anshuiensis. Its description in RNAcentral is "lncRNA (ENSSANG00000017122.1)". Lineage: Eukaryota; Metazoa; Chordata; Actinopteri; Cypriniformes; Cyprinidae. The record is from RNAcentral.
CUCCUCGUGACCAUAAGAACAUCAAAAGUUCGUGACCGGAAAAACUUGAUUCCUCUAAGCCAGAGUACACAAAGGUGUGCCAUCUCUGUAAAGCACAAAGAAGAUAAGACAGUCUAAGUUUACCAAACAGAAAAAUGGAGCCCCAAGAAGACUGGAAUACAUCAGAGAAAUCCAAGCUGUUGCAGCCUGGGCCGCCACCAUACCAGGACCAUCUUAGACAGCCUCCUCCAGGGAACUUCCAGAGCACUUCUGGCUAUCAAGCCCAGCAAUAUGGAGCUUCAGGGCCAUACGGCCAAGGACCGUAUCCAGGACAUGCUGCGGUCAUUGUGCAACCUGCAGUUUAUGUGACCACCACUCCACUGGUGUAUCCACUGCCAGAUUACCUGGGUUACUCCAUCUUUACCAUGUUGUGCUGCUGCUUACCUCUGGGCAUUGCUGCACUGGUUUUCUCUAUCAAUACUCGGAAUGCCAACAUGUCUGGACAACAACAGUUAGCAGAGAGAAACUCCAAAUUGGCGUUCACUCUUAACAAUACUGCUCUUGGUAUUGGCAUUGUUAUCUUGGUGUUGUAUGUCACCCUCAUCACUGUCAACUCUAAACACCAUUCAAAUCCAUAAUUGUUCAGGACAUCAGAGUUGGACACCAGGAAUGACAAGAUAGAGAGCUUUCUAAAAACUAAAAUUGUAUAAUGACACAAGUAUAAAUUUAAAUGAAUUUACAUUUUCAUCUGAAAGAUCAGUCUGGCUCAUCUCUAGUGUAAAAUUAUUCAUGUUACUAAAACAUGCUUUAUAGUUGAUUAUCUUAUGUUUCAAAACCAUACAAACUGUGACUCUCAUUGUAUAAAAAUUGAUGUUUGUUCUUCCUGUCUUUUGAUUAUGUAUUUAAUUAAAACUGUCAAUGACCAAUAAUGCAUACCAGUUUUCUUUGUUUAAAACCAUUUAUGUGGUUUUACCUGAGCACUGUCCAUUCGUAUUCCCGAAUAAAAUCACUCUUAUAAGCCGGUUAAGGCAGUUUUUUGGAGAAUGUUUCUUAUGUAAAUGCCUGUGCAUGACAAUUAAAAAUAUAAACAGAUUCAACAAAUUCGGAGCUCCAUGUGGUCUGUAGUUUUCCUAUGGGCU